RNAcentral lists this ribosomal RNA (395 nucleotides) under uncultured bacterium. RNAcentral describes it as "bacterial SSU rRNA". It matches the Rfam family "Bacterial small subunit ribosomal RNA", at positions 28 to 426 of the family's 1533-position model. The record is from RNAcentral.
AUUGAACGCUGGCGGCAUGCUUUACACAUGCAAGUCGAACGGCAGCGGGGGCUUCGGCCUGCCGGCGAGUGGCGAACGGGUGAGUAAUGCAUCGGAACGUGCCCAGUCAUGGGGGAUAACUACGCGAAAGCGUAGCUAAUACCGCAUACGCCCUGAGGGGGAAAGCGGGGGAUCGCAAGACCUCGCGUGAUUGGAGCGGCCGAUGUCGGAUUAGCUAGUUGGUGGGUAAAGGCCUACCAAGGCGACGAUCCGUAGCGGGUCUGAGAGGAUGAUCCGCCACACUGGGACUGAGACACGGCCCAGACUCCUACGGGAGGCAGCAGUGGGGAAUUUUGGACAAUGGGGGCAACCCUGAUCCAGCCAUGCCGCGUGAGUGAAGAAGGCCUUCGGGUUGU